Homo sapiens (human) is the source of this 2512-nucleotide long non-coding RNA. RefSeq lists it as uncharacterized. NCBI's taxonomy places the organism in Eukaryota, Metazoa, Chordata, Mammalia, Primates, Hominidae. The record is from RefSeq and is a predicted model, not a curated record. The transcript has 2 exons.
AGCGACGCGCCACAGCUCUGGCGCCACCGGGCCAGCCGGGCUGACGACCGCGGGCUUUCCGGAGCUCUGCCUAGCUCACAGCGGGGACGGUCCCCUCCCUCGGCAGCUGCCACCGCAGCUCCGGAAGCCGAGAGCACGAUCUCAAAGCGGCCGCCAGAUGGAGCCCGACAACCGCCGCGGACGUCAGCGAGACAGAUCCGGCUGGCAGGGCGGCCCGUGGACCGCGAAAGCGAAACCACGGGAAGGAAAGAAACACGAAAAAGAGAGAAAGAAUGAGGAAAGAAACGAAGGAAAGAAGGGAAAAAGAAACAGAGAGGAAAGAAAAAAGAAGGAAACACAGGGAACGAAAGAGAAAUAAAGCACGAAGGAAAAAAGGACAGAAAGAGAGAAAGAAGGAAAGGAAGAGAGGAAGAAAAACCUAAAGAAGGAGAGAAAGGAAGAAAGGAAGGAAGAAAAACACGAAGGAGAGGAAGAAAGAAAACAGAGAUAACUACGUACGCUCGUUCAUUUACACACAUAAAUACGACGCUUUUCAUACGUAAAAUAAACGUCUUUAUCGACGAUCCCUUCUUUAUAGAGCGAUGUGUAUUUAUUUGUAUAACACAGACACCUACAUCUAUCAUACAGAAGUCUAUUUCCAUACAACCGAUACGUAUUUACCAUACGCAAGAGUAUUCAAUGCAGAGAUACACGUUGUCGUUGUUUGCAUAUAAGCGUACAGAAACGUUUACAUUAAUACAUAUAAGUAAACGCGUGGAAACGAAAGAAAUAAAAAAGCGAAAUGAGUCAACAGGCCGGGCACGGUGGCUCACGCCCGUCAUCCCAGCACUUCGAGAGGCCGAGGUGGGCGCAUCACAGGAGGUCGGGAGUUGGAGACCAGCCUGAGCAACAUGGAGAGACACGGCGUGCCUACUAAAAACACAAACAUCAGCCAAGCCAGGCGUGGGGGUGCCUCCCUGUAAUCCCCGCUAAUCGGGAGGCUGAGGCAGGAGAAGCGCUCGAACCCGGGAGGCGGAAGGUGCGGUGAGCCAAGACCGCGCCAUUGCACUCUAGCCGUGGAAACAAGAGUGAAACUCUGUCUCAAAAGGACGAAACAGAAAGAAAGAAAGAAAGGAAGGAAGGAAGGAAGGAAGGAAGAAAGAAAGAAAAGAAAGAAGGAAUGAAUGAAAGAAAAGAAAGCAAGAAAGAAAGAAAGAAAGAAAAAGAAAAGAAAGAAAGAAAAGAAAGCAAGAAAGCACGAAAGCAAGCAAGCAAGAAAGCAAGAAAACAAGGAAGCAAGAAAGCAAGCAAGAAAGAAACAAAAGAAAGAAAGCAAGAAAACAAGAAAGCACGAAAGCAAGCAAGCAAGAAAGCAAGAAAACAAGGAAGCAAGAAAGAAAGAAACAAAAGAAAGAAAGAAAACAAGAAAGCAAGAAAGCACGAAAGCAAUCAAGCAAGAAAGCAAGCAGGAAAGAAACAAAAGAAAGAAAGAAAUCGAGAAAACAAGAAAGCACGAAAGCAAGCAAGCAAGAAAGCAAGCAAGAAAGAAACAAAAGAAAGAAAGAAAGAAAGAAAACAGGAAAGCAAGAAAGCACGAAAGCAAGCAAGCAAGAAAGCAAGCAGGAAAGAAACAAAAGAAAGAAAGAAAUCGAGAAAACAAGAAAGCACGAAAGCAAGCAAGCAGGAAAGCAAGCAAGAAAGAAAGAAAAGAAAGAAAGAAAGAAAGAAAACAGGAAAGCAAGAAAGCACGAAAGCAAGCAAGCAAGCAAGAAAGCAAGCAAGAAAGAAACAAAAGAAAGAAAGAAAGAAAGAAAACAGGAAAGCAAGAAAGCACGAAAGCAAGCAAGCAAGCAAGAAAGCAAGCAUGAAAGAAACGAAAGAAAGAAAGAAAGAAAGAAAACGGGAAAGGAAGAAAGCACGAAAGCAAGCAAGCAAGCGAGCGAGAGAGAGAGAGAGAGAGAGAGAGAGAGAGAGGCUGGGCGCGGUGGCUCACGCCUGUCAUCCCAGCACUUUGGGAGGCUAAGGCAGGCGGACCACCUGAGGUUGGGAGUGGGAGACCAGCCUGACCAACAUGGAAAAACACCGUCUCUACUAAAAGUACAAACAUCAGCCAGGCACGGUGGCCCAUGCCUGUAAUCCCAGCUAAUCAGGAGGCUGAGGCAGGAGAAUCGCUUGAACCUGGGAGGCGGAGGGUGCGGUGAGCCGAGAUCGCGCCAUUGCCCUCUAGCCUGGGCAACAAGAGUGAAACUCUGUCUCAAAAAAAAGAAGAAGAAGAAGAAGAAAAAGAGAAAGUAAUAAAGAAAGAAAGAAAGAAAGAAAAGGCAAGGCCAGGCAAGGCCAGGCAAGGCAAAUCUACCUGCUUUCACUACAUCUGGGGAGAAUCAGGAAAGUCCCCAACAACAACAAGGCCUAAAGUGGAGCUGCCAUCUGUCAAACCCGAGCGGAAGAGUCCACGCGGGUUAAAGACACGAAGAAAGACAAGGAAACCCCUGACCAAGGAGAAGAACAAUCGGGCCCAGCCAGGGUCUGUCUC